CGGUGCACACACAACUCACCCACACUCACAGUAAAGAACAGAAAGAAGGAAAAAGAAAGAAAAUGGAGUGAGGGUUGCGAGAGAAAAGGGUGGAUCCAAGAGAGAGAGGGAGAGCGCCGGCAAAAAAGGAGGCCGCGGGUUGCCGGUUCGUCCACGAGCCGCCUCUAGAACCGCGAAGAGAAGGAGAAGCUCGCGCCACCGUCAACCCGUCGCCGCUGUUCGUCCUUGCCGCCGCCAGUUGCGCCGCCGCGAAGAAGAGAUGCGCGAAAGAGGAAAGGCCGGUUCUGUCACCACCGUCGUGCCGUGCUCCAUGCCGUCACCACCAUUAUUCUGUCACAAGAGAAGGAUGUGCGAGGGAGGAAACAGAAUCGCGAGGGUGCUCAGCCACGGAGAGAGGAGACGCACGUCGAAUCUGUCGCCGCCGGUCCGCCCACCGCCAAACCACGCCGCCGUCCGUGAGGCUUUCUCCAUCACCGCUGCCGAAGGUCGCCAUCGGAGCCACUGCUCCACUUCUGUCAUUCUUCUUUUUCCGGUUGUUGCUGAGCCACUGAAGCCCCUGGCCACUGUCAGAGCUGCUGCCGAUUAAGUUUGGGGUGGUUGGCGUGUCGUUCUUUUAUUCCAGAAUUAGAAACCGGGCCCGCACGUCACGUUUGAGGCUGU
Arachis ipaensis is the source of this 660-nucleotide non-coding RNA. The record is from RefSeq and is a predicted model, not a curated record. Lineage: Eukaryota; Viridiplantae; Streptophyta; Magnoliopsida; Fabales; Fabaceae.